RNAcentral lists this long non-coding RNA (332 nucleotides) under Fukomys damarensis (Damara mole-rat). Its description in RNAcentral is "lncRNA (ENSFDAG00000028793.1)". Lineage: Eukaryota; Metazoa; Chordata; Mammalia; Rodentia; Bathyergidae. The record is from RNAcentral.
CCUUUCAGCUAUAUGUUGGACCACAUUUAUAUGGAAGAGGAAUCAUGAUUCUUUGAGAUGAGUCCUUAAAUACCUAUGGUAGAAGAACCCUGCAUUUUCAGAAAGUCAAAGAGCUGAGAGAAUAAGAAGCAGCCUUACAAGGCGAACUGCAGUGCUGCCGACAAUCUCUCCCCUGGAGGUGGGCAAGUCCGCAUGGUCCUCACACCUCAUACCUUUUAAUGGGAUAAAAGCCUCACUGCAAAGUUACCUUCAUUGCAAAGGUUGCAAUUCAUCAGCUGAGUAUAUAUUCAGCACUGCACACUGGCUGACACAAUUCCUACCCACGACACCCU